This 492-nucleotide ribosomal RNA is filed under the name uncultured bacterium. RNAcentral's name for it is "partial 16S ribosomal RNA". It matches the Rfam family "Bacterial small subunit ribosomal RNA", at positions 29 to 507 of the family's 1533-position model. The record is from RNAcentral.
AGUGAACGCUGGCGGUAGGCCUAACACAUGCAAGUCGAACGGCAGCACAGUAAGAGCUUGCUCUUACGGGUGGCGAGUGGCGGACGGGUGAGGAAUACAUCGGAAUCUACUUUUUCGUGGGGGAUAACGUAGGGAAACUUACGCUAAUACCGCAUACGACCUACGGGUGAAAGCAGGGGAUCUUCGGACCUUGCGCGAUUGAAUGAGCCGAUGUCGGAUUAGCGAGUUGGCGGGGGAAAGGCCCACCAAGGCGACGAUCCGUAGCUGGUCUGAGAGGAUGAUCAGCCACCGUGGAACUGAAACACGGUCCGGACUCCUACGGGAGGCAGCAGUGGGGAAUAUUGGACAAUGGGCGCAAGCCUGAUCCAGCCAUACCGCGUGGGUGAAGAAGGCCUUCGGGUUGUAAAGCCCUUUUGUUGGGAAAGAAAAGCAGCAGGUUAAUACCCCGCUGUUCUGACGGUACCCAAAGAAUAAGCACCGGCUAACUUCGUG